GUCGGUAGCAGCACGCUACCAGCGGAAGUUGUGUACCAGAGCUAACGGGAGAAUAGUAAAACAAUAGCCGUGGAUGCAGAGUCUACGUUCCUGUUAUGGACUGUUUUACCCUGUGAUGAAGAGGUGAUGACAUAAAGCAGCAGCAAAACCUCCAUACUGAACAGAAGACAUCAGUGACCACAGAUAUAGAACAUUUCCUGUGGCCAGGCGACAGCAGCUGAAAUAUUAUGCCCUAUAUCAGAUCUGACAAUAUGCAUGGAAGCAUUUAAGCUUGAACUGAACCUUGAGGCAGACUGGCUACAGCAGCAGCAGCAGACCACAUCAGGACUUCUGUGAGCUAAGAACAAGAAAC
Molecule: long non-coding RNA, 352 nt
Organism: Oreochromis aureus
Lineage: Eukaryota; Metazoa; Chordata; Actinopteri; Cichliformes; Cichlidae
Source: Ensembl